This 231-nucleotide long non-coding RNA is filed under the name Manihot esculenta (cassava). RNAcentral's name for it is "long non-coding RNA (MESC_LNC011993)". The record is from RNAcentral. Lineage: Eukaryota; Viridiplantae; Streptophyta; Magnoliopsida; Malpighiales; Euphorbiaceae.
CCAGGUCUUACAACAUCUCUAGGGCUAUUGGAGUCGCCUUGGUCCAUCCACAUCAUCAUAGUCAUCAUAUUAUGCAAUGCGCCAUAUUCGUGAAACUAGUGCAAUCAACCUACUAUAAACAGCAUGAUGCAUGAACAUGCUUGAGGCAUUUAAUUGUUUUAAAAUAAAGAUGAAGUUGAGUUCUACUCACCUCUGGCUGACUCUGGUCUAACUUGGUUAACUCUGGUGCAG